Molecule: ribosomal RNA, 433 nt
Filed under: uncultured bacterium
Lineage: Bacteria
Description: partial 16S ribosomal RNA
Rfam family: Bacterial small subunit ribosomal RNA
Source: RNAcentral
AACGAACGCUGGCGGCAUGCCUAACACAUGCAAGUCGAACGAGACCUUCGGGUCUAGUGGCGCACGGGUGCGUAACGCGUGGGAACCUGCCCUUAGGUUCGGAAUAACUCCCCGAAAGGGGUGCUAAUACCGGAUAAUGUCUUCGGACCAAAGAUUUAUCGCCUUUGGAUGGGCCCGCGUUGGAUUAGCUAGUUGGUAGGGUAAAAGCCUACCAAGGCGACGAUCCUUAGCUGGUCUGAGAGGAUGAUCAGCCACACUGGGACUGAGACACGGCCCAGACUCCUACGGGAGGCAGCAGUGGGUAAUAUUGGACAAUGGGCGAAAGCCUGAUCCAGCAAUGCCGCGUGAGUGAUGAAGGCCUUAGGGUUGUAAAGCUCUUUUACCCGGGAUGAUAAUGACAGUACCGGGAGAAUAAGCUCCGGCUAACUCCGUG